UAGGGAAUCUUCGGCAAUGGACGAAAGUCUGACCGAGCAACGCCGCGUGAGUGAAGAAGGUUUUCGGAUCGUAAAACUCUGUUGUUAGAGAAGAACAAGGACGUUAGUAACUGAACGUCCCCUGACGGUAUCUAACCAGAAAGCCAUGGCUAACUACGUGCCAGCAGCCGCGGUAAUACGUAGGUGGCAAGCGUUGUCCGGAUUUAUUGGGCGUAAAGCGAGCGCAGGCGGUUUCUUAAGUCUGAUGUGAAAGCCCCCGGCUCAACCGGGGAGGGUCAUUGGAAACUGGGAGACUUGAGUGCAGAAGAGGAGAGUGGAAUUCCAUGUGUAGCGGUGAAAUGCGUAGAUAUAUGGAGGAACACCAGUGGCGAAGGCGGCUCGCUGGUCUGUAACUGACGCUGAGGCUCGAAAGCGUGGGGAGCAAACAGG
RNAcentral lists this ribosomal RNA (429 nucleotides) under Gemmatimonadota bacterium. Its description in RNAcentral is "Gemmatimonadetes bacterium partial 16S ribosomal RNA". It matches the Rfam family "Bacterial small subunit ribosomal RNA", at positions 355 to 776 of the family's 1533-position model. The record is from RNAcentral. Lineage: Bacteria; Pseudomonadati; Gemmatimonadota.